Molecule: ribosomal RNA, 1200 nt
Filed under: uncultured Rozellomycota
Lineage: Eukaryota; Fungi; Rozellomycota
Description: SSU rRNA
Rfam family: Eukaryotic small subunit ribosomal RNA
Source: RNAcentral
CACAGGGAGGUAGUGACAAAAAAUAACAAUGCAGGGCCUUUCGGUCACUGCAAUUGGAAUGAGUACAAUUUAAACCACUUAACGAGUAUCCAUUGGAGGGCAAGUCUGGUGCCAGCAGCCGCGGUAAUUCCAGCUCCAAUAGCGUAUAUUAAAGUUGUUGCAGUUAAAAAGCUCGUAGUUGAAUUUCGGAGGAGAGUUCCUGGUCUAGGUUCGUCCUAGUACUGGGACACUUGAAUCUUUUUUCUGGGAAGCAAGAUGUCCUUCACUGGACGUCUUGGGGAACCAGGACGAUUACCUUGAGAAAAAUAGAGUGUCAAAGCAGGCUUUUGCUUGAAUACGUUAGCAUGGAAUAAUAAAAUAGGACUUUGGUUCUAUUUUGUUGGUUUUAAGGACCAAUGUCAUGAUGAAUAGGGACAGUUGGGGGCAUUCGUAUUCCGAAGCUAGAGGUGAAAUUCUUGGAUUUUCGGAAGACGAACUACUGCGAAAGCAUUUGCCAAGGAUGUUUUCAUUAAUCAAGAACGAAAGUUAGGGGAUCGAAGACGAUUAGAUACCGUCGUAGUCUUAACCAUAAACGAUGCCGACUAGGGAUCAGUGAACGUCGAAUGUGACUUCAUUGGCACCUUACGAGAAAUCAAGAGUUUUUGGGUUCUGGGGGGAGUAUAGUCGCAAGGCCGAAACUUAAAGGAAUUGACGGAAGGGCACCACCAGGAGUGGAGCCUGCGGCUUAAUUUGACUCAACACGGGAAAACUCACCAGGUCCAGACAUAGUAAGGAUUGACAGAUUGAGAGCUCUUUCAUGAUUCUAUGGGUGGUGGUGCAUGACCGUUCUUAGUUGGUGGAGUGAUUUGUCUGGUUAAUUCCGAUAACGAACGAGACCUUAACCUGCUAACUAGUUUACGAAACGCAAGUUUUGGCAAACUUCUUAGAGGGACUAUCUGUGACUAACAGAUGGAAGUUUGAGGCAAUAACAGGUCUGUGAUGCCCUUAGAUGUUCUGGCCGCACGCGCGCUACACUGAUAAAGUCAGCGAGUAUUCACCUUAACCGGAAGGUUUGGGUAAUCUUUUGAAACUUUAUCGUGAUGGGGAUUGAGCAUUGCAAUUAUUGCUCAUGAACGAGGAAUUCCUAGUAAGCGCGAGUCAUCAGCUCGCGUUGAUUACGUCCCUGCCCUUUGUACACACCGCCCGUCGAUACUACCGAUU